UUCGGGGUGGAUUAGUGGCGAACGGGUGAGUAACACGUGGGCAAUCUGCCCUUCACUCUGGGACAAGCCCUGGAAACGGGGUCUAAUACCGGAUACGACCUGCCGAGGCAUCUCGGCGGGUGGAAAGCUCCGGCGGUGAAGGAUGAGCCCGCGGCCUAUCAGCUUGUUGGUGGGGUAAUGGCCUACCAAGGCGACGACGGGUAGCCGGCCUGAGAGGGCGACCGGCCACACUGGGACUGAGACACGGCCCAGACUCCUACGGGAGGCAGCAGUGGGGAAUAUUGCACAAUGGGCGCAAGCCUGAUGCAGCGACGCCGCGUGAGGGAUGACGGCCUUCGGGUUGUAAACCUCUUUCAGCAGGGAAGAAGCGAAAGUGACGGUACCUGCAGAAGAAGCGCCGGCUAACUACGUGCCAGCAGCCGCGGUAAUACGUAGGGCGCAAGCGUUGUCCGGAAUUAUUGGGCGUAAAGAGCUCGUAGGCGGCUUGUCACGUCGGGUGUGAAAGCCCGGGGCUUAACCCCGGGUCUGCAUCCGAUACGGGCAGGCUAGAGUGUGGUAGGGGAGAUCGGAAUUCCUGGUGUAGCGGUGAAAUGCGCAGAUAUCAGGAGGAACACCGGUGGCGAAGGCGGAUCUCUGGGCCAUUACUGACGCUGAGGAGCGAAAGCGUGGGGAGCGAACAGGAUUAGAUACCCUGGUAGUCCACGCCGUAAACGUUGGGAACUAGGUGUUGGCGACAUUCCACGUCGUCGGUGCCGCAGCUAACGCAUUAA
This 770-nucleotide ribosomal RNA is filed under the name Streptomyces sp. RNAcentral's name for it is "bacterial SSU rRNA". It matches the Rfam family "Bacterial small subunit ribosomal RNA", at positions 81 to 863 of the family's 1533-position model. The record is from RNAcentral. Lineage: Bacteria; Bacillati; Actinomycetota; Actinomycetes; Kitasatosporales; Streptomycetaceae.